ACGCUUCUGCAAGGUGACCUGAUUUGACCUAUAGGAGUGAUUAAUUGCUGAAACAUAUUGAGAUCAUGCAGAUGUAGGGCUGCCUGGAAAUUCCUUCCCUUUUUUUCUGGAUCAGGGUUAUAAAAGACGAUGCUACAAACACAGGAGCAGCGAGCCAAACUAUUCUUACACAGGACGAAGCUCAUGUAGAGGAUUUCCAUCCUGUUCCUUUGGACUGAACCCCCACCCCAAUUCUCUGCCUUCCUGUGCAAGCUCUCAGGAGCACCAACUCCUCAUCUCUAUGGUAACCCCCCCAGCUCAUUACUCGGAAACCUCGCCUCUUAAAGGAGCCGCAUCAAGGCUGAAACAACCGCGAGACAACGUGCAGACAAGCACCCUCAGAAACACCCUUUCAGCAAAGGGUGGAAAUUUAACAACCAGUCCGCCCAGGGUCAGUUCCAUGUCAAGGAAUUUUUUUUAUUACUGCAGAAUAUACUGGAAAAGCAUCCUCUGUGAUGCAAAGCGAUUCUUCUGGAUCUCGCUAGUAAACAUUCUGCUCCCAUGGGUAGAGGCCACUCCCAGCUGAAGAACCAAAGUGUAGAUAUUAUAAUAUCACAGGCAUACAUGCUCGGAUUCCCUUCAUUUUGCUGGUCUUCUCCAACUGUUCACUGUGCAGCUGAAUACCUUCUGUCUGAUGGUUCUCCCAAGAACAAUUCAGCAAAAAGGAAUGCAAAGCCACCUUAAUUUUGAAAUCAACAUUUUCCUCUGAUAAGGAGCUAUCAUACAUUUCUUCUCUGAAGACUUAAGAAUGGAAUCAGGUCUGUCCAAGAAAUUUCAUUCUAUCAAGCAGAGCAAUAUUUGUGCAAGGAAGAGAAAGCCCACUACAUACAUAUUGGACCUCAGUUCCAUUAAGAACUUUCACAUGUCUGAAGUCCAAAUCUAUUUUAACAUAAAUAAAGCAGAUUUAUACAUACAUACAUACACACACAUGCAUACAUACUUGCAUACAUACAUUAUGGUUAUGUUUGGAAUACAUUUAUAUAUACAUAUCUAUAUCCUAUAAAUAUGUAGAUAUAAGCAAUUUUUAAAUAUAAAAGACGUUUAUAUUAAAGAUUUUUAAUACAAAGCAUACGUGUACAAAGUAGCUUAGAAAUUCAAAUUAAAGAAGAUUUCAUUUUUGGAGUAUUCUGCUGAGUAAUAGAAGAAAAAAAUUCAUUUGGAGUAAGACACAGAAGGAAAUCCAUAGCAAUGUUAUAAACAAAGAUAUUAAUAAUUCAGCUGAUGUGGAGCACUGUAGCUGAAGAAAAUGAAAAUGUUCUUCUCAAUCUCUGCAGUUCAGUGUGUCAUGGUUGGGAGAUGCUCAAUCCUCUCGUAAAAAAAAAGAGCCAUUACCAAUUCAGGUGCACUUUUAGUUCUGAUACGAUUUGAAAGUUUGACAUUUCUGUAAUAUCUGUUUUUUAAUUGAGAAAUAAACAAUGGAGAAAUCUAGUCUUUCUUUGAAAACAUUUUGCUUUGCAUUUUAUGUCUCUAACAUGAACUGAGAACAGAAUUCACUUCCUGGAAUUAGUAGCAUUCUGAGCCUGGCAUUUUGUCAUAGGAAAGACUCUUGGCUGCAUCUAUAGUUGGGAAGAUCUACAGUUUAAAUUUCAUUUGUACAAGUUGUUAAGACCAGAUUUGUAACUAUAAUUCAUUCAUUAUGCUUUCAUUUUAGCCCUUGCCCAUUUUAUCACAUAACGUGAUGGUUGAUAAUCAUUGUUCCUAAAGUGUAGGAAUGAAUAGGAUGGAGGUCUCUGUGAUUUGGUGGAAUUUUAUCACAUGGACAGAUUCUCAUGAUCACUAUUAGCUAGAUCCCAUCCUUUCUUAGGAUCUUGUCAAAGAGUUCA
Thamnophis elegans (Western terrestrial garter snake) is the source of this 1862-nucleotide long non-coding RNA. RefSeq lists it as uncharacterized. The record is from RefSeq and is a predicted model, not a curated record. NCBI's taxonomy places the organism in Eukaryota, Metazoa, Chordata, Lepidosauria, Squamata, Natricidae. The transcript is spliced from 3 exons.